Molecule: small RNA, 125 nt
Filed under: Marmota monax (woodchuck)
Lineage: Eukaryota; Metazoa; Chordata; Mammalia; Rodentia; Sciuridae
Source: RNAcentral
GCCAGGUGCAGUGGUGCAUACCUGUAAUCCCAGCGACUCAGGGGGCUGAGGCAGGAGGAUCGCGGGCUCAAAGCCAGCCUCAGCAACAGGGAGGCACUAAGCAACUCAGUGAGACCCUAUCUCUA